AGAACGAACGCUGGCGGCAUGCCUAAUACAUGCAAGUCGAACGAACUCUUCGGAGUUAGUGGCGCACGGGUGCGUAACGCGUGGGAAUCUGCCCCUUGGUUCGGAAUAACAGUUGGAAACGACUGCUAAUACCGGAUGAUGACGAAAGUCCAAAGAUUUAUCGCCAAGGGAUGAGCCCGCGUAGGAUUAGCUAGUUGGUGAGGUAAAGGCUCACCAAGGCAACGAUCCUUAGCUGGUCUGAGAGGAUGAUCAGCCACACUGGGACUGAGACACGGCCCAGACUCCUACGGGAGGCAGCAGUA
This 302-nucleotide ribosomal RNA is filed under the name uncultured soil bacterium. RNAcentral's name for it is "bacterial SSU rRNA". It matches the Rfam family "Bacterial small subunit ribosomal RNA", at positions 26 to 356 of the family's 1533-position model. The record is from RNAcentral.